RNA transcript from Chelonia mydas (Green sea turtle), 4185 nucleotides. RefSeq lists it as uncharacterized. NCBI's taxonomy places the organism in Eukaryota, Metazoa, Chordata, Testudines, Cheloniidae. The record is from RefSeq and is a predicted model, not a curated record. The transcript is spliced from 3 exons.
GCACCCCCAGUCACUUCCUCUGAAAGGACACGUGACCCCACUUCCUCCUGCGCCACUCUGGGGCAUCACUUUUCCCUUUGCAGACUGCUCCCAGCUGCUGCUGCUGCGAACUUCCCCUCCUGAGCCUCAGCCUGCGACUCCGCUCCUGAAGGAUUACGACCUGUGCAUCACCUGUUAUAACACUAAAAACCACGACCACAAGAUGGAGAAAUUGGGCCUUGGCCUAGACGAUGAGAGCAACAACCAGCAGACUGCAACCACCCAGAGCCCUGGUGACUCCCGCCGUCUGAGCAUCCAGCGCUGUAACCAGUCCCUUGUCCAUGCCUGCCAGUGUCGUAACGCCAACUGUUCACUGCCGUCCUGUCAGAAGAUGAAGUGGGUUGUCCGACACACCAAAGGCUGCAAGUGCAAGACCAACGGAGGGUGCCCUCUUUGCAAACAGCUCGUUGCUCUUUGCUGCUACCAUGCUAAGCACUGCCAGGAGAACAAGUGCCCGGUGCCCUUUUGCCUCAACAUUAAACACAAGCUCCUCCAACAGCAACUUCAGCACCAUCCGCAGCAGAGAGGAGGAUAGCGAGCAUGCAGAGGACAGGUGUGAUAGGUUGGCAGCAAAGAUUGCCUUCACCAACACCAGCCACACCAACAACUCCACCAGGCCAGCAGUGUAGCCCAUAGAGCUAGUUUAGCCUUUUAUCAUAUUUAGCAGUAACACAAGGAACCUACAGGCCUGUACCCUGUAAGACAUUUCUUAGACGAUCUUGCUUAAGCUAUAGUGAAGCAUAGUAGGCCUGUGUCCCUUGGCACAGAUAAAUGGCCUGACAAGGGGAAAGUUUUCUAUAUGGGCAGCAUGGAGAGAAAGAGACCAUCUAUCUGUGUCAGCACCUGUCCUGGGCACUAUGAACUGUAAGGCAAUAGGGCUGCUCAGUAAGUUCCCUCUCAGUGAUUGCGGCAUAGUGUAUUCCAGGAGAAGCAGUUUGUCCAUGCUCGCCCCACAGCAUUUCAAAAGGGGCCAUUUAACAUCCCACCUCUGCGUUCCCAAUGCCCUUGACAGGCUUCUCCCUCAUCCUAGCCAAGUUGCUGGUCUCUGUUUCAACCUCAAGGAGAAUGUUCUGUCCCUGGCUCGGAAGCCUGCAUUCCUUGUGGUGACAGCACUGGUCAGGAGAGUCCCAGAGCGCCAGGCUGUAGGCCUGCUUAGGGAGUGUUUCCCAAAGAUGCAGUGGUGCUGCAGCCUCCUGCUGAAAGUGGCCUCAAACUUCGAGCUGAGUAAGACCAAUGCACUGUGGGGUUGGUCAGGCUAUCAAGGCUAAGCGGCUGGAGGUGCCCUUUUAGCUACUAACCUAAUGGGAAAAAAUCCUUCAUUAAAUCUCAGAUAAUUCUUGGGUCAGUCAUGUGCGGACAUAUCCCAGGAGAGAGGAUAUGUAUGGGCCAUCUACAGGAGCUCUCCUUUAUUACUUCUCCCCACAAACCCCUGGCUUUCCACUAGUUCCUGUGAAGAACGGGGUGCUGGGGAGGGAGGUUAGAUUUAGUGCAGCAUAUGCCCCCUUUAAACUUGGGGAACAUAGAUUUGCCACCCUCUGCAUGACCCUCCUCUUCCACUCUCAGGUGCUCCACCAUUCCUGAGAACCUGAAAUCCCUGGCCUAGUCUACCCCUUCUCAAGAGCCUCAGCCCUCCGGAAGCCCCUCCCCCCAUACUGUUCUCUCCCAGGACCCCCAUCUCUCCUACUCCACACCUGACCCCUUCCCUGCUGGCGAGCCUGGCCAUUGGCUGAUGUGUCUGUCUCACUUCCCGGCUGGUUCUUGGUGCUGAGAGGUACCAUUGUGGUUUUGGCAACUGUCAGGUGAGGCCCCGGCCUGCUGCGCAUGCAGAGUGGGACCUGGGUGGCUGCCAUGGCAUGCUUCCAGCCAUGAGGAGCGUGACCGCUAGUUACAAGAUCACCGCACAAGCAUCAACAAAACGAAGACCCAGCAAGUGACAUCUCUUAACUGGCAAGAGAGUAGAAAACCCGGCCUAGUCAAUGGCAACCCUAUUUUCCAUGUACCUGCUCAAAAGUGGUCAGGCCAUGGCCCAGGUGCCGUGCCCCCACUCCAGCUCUGCAGCCUAGGGUACAGGCUCUCAGAGAUUAGUGGCUAUUCUGGGCUAGAAUUGUUCUGUACUCCUGGUUGUGAAAAUGCUUUAGGAUAUUGUUUUCUUUUCUGGUGCAGUUAAACUAUUAAACAACAUGUGUUCGCCACUGGUAUUAGGGUGUGUUAUUUUAUAAUAUCCUUCACACAGCAUUAACACCCUUCACACAAUACUGCCAGUGUCAAGUGUUCAAAGAGCAUGAGUCAGCUCCCCCGCCCCCCAUCUUGAGAUUAAAUAAAUAUAUAACAUUUUAGGGUUUAUAUGUUUGUCUUUGGGUUUUGAGCCAUGUUUUCAGGCUUUUUUCUGCACCCAGGCAGGCUCAAAACAAUUUUUUUUUAAUGAAAGCUGAAAGUCUCAUUAAAUCAUCUGACUCCCGGGCCUGGGGUUUUAAAAAACACACCAAAUAUUGUGAGACUUGUGUCACCGCCCUUUCCUCCCUGGGUUACUCGGGAGCAGCCAACACUCACGUGUGUGCCUGGGCGCCUGAUGUUGACAUUCAAGAAGAUCCUGAGUAUCCCAGUGGUGCUGUUGGAUAGGUGGGAAUCCUCUAUUCACCCCUCUGCUACAGUCCCUUUACUCCAGUGGUUUGCAAACUUUUGUAUUGGUGACCGCUUUCACACAGCAAGCAUAUGAGUGCAACCCCCCCUUAUAAAUUAAAAAACAAAUUUUUUAUAUUUAACACUAUUAUAAAUGCUGGAGGUGAAGCGGGGUUUGGGGUGGAGGCUGACAGCUCGCGACCCCCCAAGAAAUAACCUUGUGACCCCCCUGAGCGGUCAGGACCCCCAGUUUGAGAACCCCUGCUUUACUCCUAAAGGAAUUUAAAAUUAGCGGUGCCUCUACCUGGCUGGCCCCUGUACACACUCAAUGGCGUGCCUGGGGAACCUCCAGGAACAAAGCUAUUCUAAUAAUAAUAAUAAUAUAAUCUGUGGCAUGGGUGUAACUCAAAAAUAUCAAUUAUAAAUAAUAUAAAUCCAAUAUACUUGCAUUAGAGUGAACACACCUUUACUUAACAACUUAAAAAAUCAGGGUAUAAGAGUCUAAGAUUAUGUGUCACUACUAAUUUAAAUCCACAAGGGGCAAUUGAAUAAAAUCAAUUAAUAAAUAUAGUACACAGCAAUAAAUGAAACUUAUCUAACUGGCAUUUACACUGGCACCAUUUACCCCACCCCAAGUGUACACUCCUCUGGAUUUCAGAGUCCUAGACGCUGGCUUGCGUGGGCGCGCUGGAAGAUCUGCAGCUGGAGACAGUGCUCGGUUGGUUCUGUGUAUCACUCCAGCCAAGGCAACAAGCUGCACAACCCCUCUGACGACUGGACUGGCUCCACCAAAGGGCCAGCAGCAGACUCCUCAAGUUCAGCAAGCUGGGAUGGGGCCAGCAGCUCCCCAGGAGAUGGUGUUGGGAGAACAUAUGGCAGACCCAGCAAUACGCAGACUCAUUCAGCAGCAGCUCGCUCUCCUCUUACAGGCUCACAAGUGCCAGCGGCGGGAACAGGCAAAUGGUGAGGUACGACAAUGCAACCUCCCUCAUUGCCGUACCAUGAACAAUGUCCUCAGCCAUAUGACAAACUGCCAGGCUGGCAAAUCCUGCCAGAGUGAGUAAAGGGGGUGUGUGCAUCCAUCCAGGGCUGGAUUUAGGGGCAGGUGACCCAGGAGACCACCUGGAGUGCCAGGCUUGGAGGGCACCGGACUCAGGGUGCUGUUUUUGUUGUUAGUGACAAAAGGGAAAAUAGAAUGUUUGAAGCAAAAUGUUUCAGGUAUUCCAUAUGUGGAUUCAUUUUUCACUAACCUGCUAGAAUGUUCUGGACUUUUGUAGAAUCUCGUGGAACCUUCCAGACUUUUUGAGAACAACAUUUAAUUUGAACCUCCUAGAACGUUGUCAGCCAUGCCCUCACAGAUAUAUUACGGGCAGGGCAUUGCCGGUCAGUCAGUGAGAUACAAGGAUGAUCUGAAGUGACAGCCCAGCUGCGAUACUAUGAACCUUGUGUUAUUGUGUAAUUGUGAAAGUGUACUUGUGAUUUAAGACUUGAGGAGUGUACAUAGCUACUAAUAAAAAGACAUAUUUA